GAUUCCAUGGUGUAGUCGGUUAUCACGUCUGUCUAACAUACAGACGGUCGCCGGUUCGAAUCCGGCUGGAAUCA
Non-coding RNA from Tieghemiomyces parasiticus, 74 nucleotides. The record is from the annotation of a GenBank genome assembly. NCBI's taxonomy places the organism in Eukaryota, Fungi, Kickxellomycota, Dimargaritomycetes, Dimargaritales, Dimargaritaceae.